UCCCUGAUGGCCUAAUGGUUAGGAUACAGUGCUUUCAAUGCUGUGGCUCAGGUUCAAUCCCUGGUCUGGGAA
RNAcentral lists this transfer RNA (72 nucleotides) under Sus scrofa (pig). It matches the Rfam family "tRNA". From Rfam's summary of the family: Transfer RNA (tRNA) molecules are approximately 80 nucleotides in length. Their secondary structure includes four short double-helical elements and three loops (D, anti-codon, and T loops). Further hydrogen bonds mediate the characteristic L-shaped molecular structure. tRNAs have two regions of fundamental functional importance: the anti-codon, which is responsible for specific mRNA codon recognition, and the 3' end, to which the tRNAs corresponding amino acid is attached (by aminoacyl-tRNA synthetases). tRNAs cope with the degeneracy of the genetic code in two manners: having more than one tRNA (with a specific anti-codon) for a particular amino acid; and 'wobble' base-pairing, i.e. permitting non-standard base-pairing at the 3rd anti-codon position. Lineage: Eukaryota; Metazoa; Chordata; Mammalia; Artiodactyla; Suidae. The record is from Rfam by way of RNAcentral.